ACCUAAAGUUUGAAAUCUGUGCUCUUUCAAAUUUAAUUUAACAAACAUCUUUUGAUUUAUUGAUUGUUUAUGAUGUUCCAGACCAGGCAAGGGGACCUACACAGAGGAUGAAGAAUAGGACAUAUCUUCAAGGGAGGUUCUUAAUGUAGGAGCAAUUUGAAGUGGAUUCAGUUUUAUAGAUAAUAAGCAUGAGAGUAAAGAUCACAGCAGACAUUUGGUUACUAAAGAUCUAUGGGCCUGCCUUUUGUUUUUUUCUCUUGGUUAUACAGUUUUCUCGAGUUAUUACUGUUCCAGCUCAAUGGCGUUUAGAUGCAGCAUUUCACCUCUCCUUUUGAGAAGGAAGGAGAGAGGGAAAGAGAAAUAAUUGAUCACCAGCUCUUUCCUUCUAUAAGAAAUCUUCUACUCAUCACACCAGGGCUAUCCUCAUCAAGCAGGUAGGCAGCAAACAACCCUAGCGAACCUUUCCCUAUUUCACACACACACACACACAUACACACACACACACACACUCAGAUGCAUGUCAUACAUACGCUCUUAUAUGCUCACACACACUCACACCUGUACACAUGCCUACAUGUUCUCAUACACUCAUACA
Molecule: long non-coding RNA, 595 nt
Filed under: Vulpes vulpes (red fox)
Lineage: Eukaryota; Metazoa; Chordata; Mammalia; Carnivora; Canidae
Description: lncRNA (ENSVVUG00000012223.1)
Source: RNAcentral